GAUCAUGGCUCAGGAUGAACGCUAGCUACAGGCUUAACACAUGCAAGUCGAGGGGCAGCAUUUUUAUAGCAAUAUAAAAGAUGGCGACCGGCGCAUGGGCGAGUAACACGUAUCCAACCUGCCGAUAACUCGGGGAUAACCCUUCGAAAGAAGGCCUAAUACCCGAUGGCAUAUCCCUUCCGCCUGGUUGGGAUAUUAAAGAACUUCGGUUAUCGAUGGGGAUGCGUUCCAUUAGCUUGUUGGCGGGGUAACGG
Molecule: ribosomal RNA, 254 nt
Filed under: uncultured bacterium
Lineage: Bacteria
Description: partial 16S ribosomal RNA
Rfam family: Bacterial small subunit ribosomal RNA
Source: RNAcentral